CCCUGGGAGGUCAGUGCAGGGUUCCUCCAUUUUGACAUGAGUAAAUUCUAGAUUAGGUAUUUGGCAGUUAACUCAUCUGGAUAUAUGGGAACAGAAGUGCCAGACACGUAGAUAAUAUUUGGAGAACAGGAGCAGACUUGGAACAUGCUGAAUAGAGGACAAGGAAGUAUCAUCAGACAAACUUAAAGAUGAUCUGACAAUGUCAUUUUCCAAGGGACUGAUAGAAAGAUUGAGUAUCAUGGAAUCAGAACAGACAACAGAGAAUCAGAUUUGGACUGAAUCAGAAUAAACAGGCAAUGCAGACACUUGUUCUCUGAAUCACAAUCAAGACUCAGUGCUGGAACAGAUUUGAGGAAUGUAUACAAUUCUUAUCUAAACUGAUGUCUGAUAUUUAACCAGGUUAAAGUUUUUUCUUUUAUUUUAAUGUGAGAAAAAUUUAACAGAUAAUACAUUUUCCCUUCACUACUCAAUGUCUCAGUUAGAAUUUCAUCUGAAUUGCAUUUAUUCAAUUCAUUUUAUUUCUUGACUUGGUGGAUUUAAUAUUCCUGGCAUGCUUUGAAAACAUGGCUGAAUGCAUUUAUGAAUGAAAAUUGACAAAUCCUAGUUCUGUUUCUUAAAUACAUUAUUUGUCACAAGCUUUAGAAGAAAAUCACUAAUUAUUUAAUGUGGUUGUAUUUUCAAAUCCCUGAAAAGUGUUGAAUGCUAUAUACCAAACAUAUAUUGGCAUAUCAAAUGUUGCCCAAGAGUCAAGCAUGACUUUUAUAAGAAGUUGCAAGAAAAGAUUGAAAAUAUUUGUAAAAAUGAAUAUUUUGUCACUCUUUAAGAACCAGAAUGCUUUGAUCUACAUUUGUAGAUUUCUAGUUUGGAUAAGUUAUUUGGAGAAAUAAACAAAAUUGUUUUAUUGAAAAAGUUUUAUGUUAAUUUCAUAGUUGACUGUUUCCAUGGAAAAUAAAAAUAUUUUUGACUCUUACCAUAAACUCUUAGAUUUAAUGUCACCUUUGGUUGUUUAUCUGUACAUUUCUUCCUAUUCAAUCUCCAGACAUAUCUCCAAAUAUAUCACGGUAUAAAAAGUAGAAAACACUGUAGAAUAAUUUUCUCCACUUAUUUUACGGGAUUUUAUGAAUGUCUCGUAAUCUUUGUCAAACACUUUUAUUUUACUUAAAAAGGCAAAUACACAGCAAACAAAAUUGUAUAUGGGCUCUGUGUGAUCAAAAUAAAACCAUUCAGAAUCAUUGCACGUUAGU
This is a long non-coding RNA of Homo sapiens (human), 1244 nucleotides long. RefSeq lists it as uncharacterized. The transcript is spliced from 3 exons. The record is from RefSeq and is a predicted model, not a curated record. Lineage: Eukaryota; Metazoa; Chordata; Mammalia; Primates; Hominidae.